UACGUAGGGGGCAAGCGUUGUCCGGAUUUAUUGGGCGUAAAGAGCGUGUAGGCGGUUUGGUAGGUCCGCUGUGAAAACUCGAAGCUCAACCUCGAGACGCCGGUGGAAACCAUCAGGCUAGAGUCCGGAAGAGGAGAGUGGAAUUCCUGGUGUAGCGGUGAAAUGCGCAGAUAUCAGGAAGAACACCCGUGGCUAAGGCGGCUCUCUAGUACGGUACUGACGCUGAGACGCGAAAGCGUGGGGAGCGAACAGG
RNAcentral lists this ribosomal RNA (253 nucleotides) under uncultured bacterium. RNAcentral's name for it is "partial 16S ribosomal RNA". It matches the Rfam family "Bacterial small subunit ribosomal RNA", at positions 524 to 776 of the family's 1533-position model. The record is from RNAcentral.